UGCAUUCACUACUGUAAGUUGCUCUAGAUAACAGCGUCUGCUAAAUGACUAAAA
Non-coding RNA from Salmo salar (Atlantic salmon), 54 nucleotides. NCBI's taxonomy places the organism in Eukaryota, Metazoa, Chordata, Actinopteri, Salmoniformes, Salmonidae. The record is from Rfam.